Molecule: non-coding RNA, 1353 nt
Organism: Saimiri boliviensis boliviensis (Bolivian squirrel monkey)
Lineage: Eukaryota; Metazoa; Chordata; Mammalia; Primates; Cebidae
Source: RefSeq, a predicted model, not a curated record
AGGAAGGAACCAGGCCUAGGGACCGGGGGCUCCCUCCCAGAGCAGGUGGAGGCUCAGGACCACCUGCCGCCCCCUCUGCCGGCACGUUGCAUGGGAGUCCAGGCAUUCUUUGCAACCCCACCUGACCACCUUGCUAAAAGAAAACAGAAGCGUGGAGGCUGCCACCUAUUUGCAAGAAAUAAACCCGUAAACAAUUGCAUCUCUUUUUUAGAAAGAGGUUUGGGGCAGGGAAAGGGGAGAAGGGACCCGAAGCCGAGAGCUGAGUUUCCAGAAAAUCCUGCAGGAGAAGAAGAUGCAUCUGCCCAGAGGAGGGAAGUGGAAUCGCACUCAGGAAAGUGUGUGGGGUCCCAGGAUGACACCAGCACCCAGCGCAGCUCUGUCCGGCAACCUCUCCCAAGGUCGGAGGAGUGAGUGUCCCCUGUGUGUGGAUGAGCAGCUCCUGCUGAGCCCGCAGCACCUCGGGGAGCCUGACAGCGGGGUUGUGUGCCUCACACUUCUCUGCUUGUGGACCUGGCGAGUCUGGGAGCAGAAAGAGCCACAGGAAGGUUUUCUGUCUGCGUCUGUGUGUGGUGUGGAUUUAGUUGUGCUCUUUUCUUGCUGGGAGGGCACAGCCACCGUUUGUAAGAAGAGUCGCCCUGGUGGGUGGGGAAGACAGAACAGGAGCCUCUCUGCCCUCUGUACCUUUCUGGGCCCGGUGGGCUCCCCUGUCCUGGCUUCCAUCUCUGUCUGUCUCCGUGACCCUCCAGCCCUGCAAGGGAACACACGUGGCUUAGAAAAGCCACAUCCAGCCCUGGCCUCUGUCUCCUCUGAUCUCAUGACGUGCAUCUGCCGCCUUGAAACUGGAAAGCGAUCUAUCGAUGUCUGUGCCAAUUUUCGUUUCCCCCCACAACCUGCGUCCCCGUGCGACUUUUAUUUAUGUAUGAUGUGUGCUGUCUAAUGAUGGGAUGACCACACUUUCCAUGUUCUAAAAGGGAUCCUCCCCCACUGGGUUCCAGGAGUGAUGAUGGCUUUAGGACUUGAGGUGUGUCACUUACCUGCCUCCUGGCUCAAAAGCCUGUGCAGAAGCAAAGCUGGUGCGGGGCUGGGAAAUGCAGCGUUCUCCAGGACGGGACCCAGCUCUCCCCCUGCAACGCAGGCAAAGGCCUGGACGCCAGUGUGACCUCCCACAAGGCAUGGCUGCCAGACUCCCUGACCAGAAGUGAUGCUUUUUUGCAUCAGGCCCUGGGUUUGAAGCAGCCUCGCUUUCUCUCUGUAAGUGGCUGGUGUCUUAGCAGCAAUGUGAGCUCGGCCACCUACACAGCACCGUGGGGGAAAGAACUGCUGACACUUUCAUUAAAGUUCUCUGACACGAUG